GAANUAAGAUCGGCUAACUCCGUGCCAGCAGCCGCGGUAUACGGGGGAUGCAGCGUUAUCCGGAAUCAUUGGGUGUAAAGCGCCUGUAGGUUGUUUGAUAAGUCUGUUGUUAAAGCCUAGGGCUUAACCCUAGAAAAGCGAUGGAAACUACCAGACUAGAGUAUGGAAGGGGUAGAGGGAAUUUCUAGUGUAGCGGUGAAAUGCGUAGAUACUAGAAAGAACACCAGAAGCGAAAGCGCUCUACUGGGCCAGUACUGACACUCAGAGGCGAAAGCUAGGGUAGCAAAAGGGAUUAGAUACCCCUGUAGUCCUAGCCGUAAACGAUGGAUACUAGAUGUUGUGGGUUACUUGUAACAGAUGUUGCAGAUUAACAUGCAGUGACGAAGCUAACGCGUUAAGUAUCCCACCUGGGGAGUACGCUCGCAAGGGUGAAACUCAAAGGAAUUGACGGGGGCCUGCACAAGCGGUGGAGCAUGUGGUUUAAUUCGAUGCAACGCGAAGAACCUUACCAGGAUUUGACAUACUACAAAUCUUUUUGAGAAAAAAGAGCGCCUUCGGGAAUGUAGAUACAGGUGGUGCAUGGCUGUCGUCAGCUCGUGUCGUGAGAUGUUGGGUUAAGUCCCGCAACGAGCGCAACCCUUAUUUUUAGUUACUAACUUGUUAGGUUCUCUAGAAAGACUGCCGGUGACAAACCGGAGGAAGGUGAGGAUGACGUCAAGUCAGCAUGCCCCUUAUAUCCUGGGCUACACACGUGCUACAAUGGUUAAGACAAUGAGUCGCAAGCUCGCGAGAGUCUGCUAAUCUGGUAACUUUGCCUAWSDUCAGAUUGUAGGCUGCAACUCGCUU
Molecule: ribosomal RNA, 846 nt
Filed under: uncultured phototrophic eukaryote
Lineage: Eukaryota
Description: bacterial SSU rRNA
Rfam family: Bacterial small subunit ribosomal RNA
Source: RNAcentral